UAAAAUUUUUCAGUUCAUGCGCAAAUAUAGAAAAAUUCUAAAAAGAAUUUUUUUUAAAAUAAUAAAUUAUCAUAAUAUAUUUUUUAAAAAAAUUUGAUUAGAUGAAGAUCUAAUAGUUAAAAAAUUAUUAUUAUUUUUAUAUAAUAUUAUAUAAUAUAAAAUUUAUUCGGAUCUGAGUUGGGUUCGAAUCGGAUAUAAACAAAAUCCAUAUCCGAACCAGAAUCCAUCAGAUUAUUCUUUGUACCCCUAACCAAAAUUAUUUCUGUUUAGCAUUGAGUAUUUAGAA
Molecule: long non-coding RNA, 286 nt
Filed under: Ananas comosus (pineapple)
Lineage: Eukaryota; Viridiplantae; Streptophyta; Magnoliopsida; Poales; Bromeliaceae
Description: long non-coding RNA (ACOM_LNC000664)
Source: RNAcentral